RNAcentral lists this ribosomal RNA (305 nucleotides) under uncultured bacterium. RNAcentral's name for it is "bacterial SSU rRNA". It matches the Rfam family "Bacterial small subunit ribosomal RNA", at positions 334 to 637 of the family's 1533-position model. The record is from RNAcentral.
UAUGCCUACGGGGGGCAGCAGUGAGGAAUAUUGGUCAAUGGCCGUAAGGCUGAACCAGCCAAGUCGCGUGAGGGAAGACGGUCCUAUGGAUUGUAAACCUCUUUUGUCGGGGAGCAAAAGGCGCCACGCGUGGCGUUCCGAGAGUACCCGAAGAAAAAGCAUCGGCUAACUCCGUGCCAGCAGCCGCGGUAAUACGGAGGAUGCGAGCGUUAUCCGGAUUUAUUGGGUUUAAAGGGUGCGCAGGCGGAAGAUCAAGUCAGCGGUAAAAUUGAGAGGCUCAACCUCUUCGAGCCGUUGAAACUGGG